Long non-coding RNA from Danio aesculapii, 1058 nucleotides. RefSeq lists it as uncharacterized. The transcript has 3 exons. NCBI's taxonomy places the organism in Eukaryota, Metazoa, Chordata, Actinopteri, Cypriniformes, Danionidae. The record is from RefSeq and is a predicted model, not a curated record.
UUUCUGUAUCACCAGGGGUUGUCGGAGUUGGGUCCACUGAAAAAUGUACAGUGCUAAAUCACAGCAUAUGCUGCCUCGGAGGAAAAAUGCAGAAGAGACUGGACGUACAGCAGUAUAUGGGCGCCUCCUAGCGUUUGGAUUAUUUCUGCCUGGAAUCGCUCUUUAAGGUGGAAGAGCCAUCUUAAAUGGAAACUACAUCGGUCGCUCGCCUCUCACAUACACCAAAGUAACAUGCGCCUAUUUUAAUCUGAUUAAUGCUUUUGAGAUUUCCUUCUAAUUGACUUGGACGUUGCAGAGGUGCGUUUGUAGGUCUCCGCUCCACAUUUUCUCCGGAGUGAUUUUUCACGCACGGGAAUAUUGCAGCGUUUCGGUUAAUUUUGUUCAGUUUAUUGAAACGAUCAAAACUGAACACCGUGCCUCAUCACAGACCAUUCAAAAGCCAGUGAACAAGACAGCCGAAAGCAAUCCAGCAGAAGUAAAUUAUAACGAACCGAUGCAAAGUGGAUUUUACCCCAAGAUCAAGAAGCCUGGCUCUGUGCCCAAAUAUGGUGUAAUUUGUUCAGCAUUACCUUCAGUCUUAAAACAACACCAUUGUCCUGGGAAUUCAGAAGACUCGCUGCUUCUUCACAGGAUAGUAUAAUCAGCGGUCUGGCAGACCAGCAGUGCAUUGUGUCAGAGCUCUCUGCAGGACUAUGAAGACUGAAGAAUGCUGAGUGCUGACAUCAACACCUAAUGCAUGAUGGGAGGAGGAUCGUCAUGCAAACAUCCCACAGCACCAAAAUGCAGGGAAGGUAAGCCUUAAUGUACGUGUUUGAGUUACUGGAGCAACUAACCUGUGAUAGAUUCUCUUACAGGCAACAGGAUCAAAGGGUCAGCUGACAACAAACUGUUUGAAUCGUCUACGUAUGUAUAGUAAUUGUGCACCAUUUGCUGUGAUAUGUGAAUAUACAUGAUAAUGGCAAUAGCUUUAUGAUGACAAGAGUAGAAAUGUUGAAUUUAAAAACAAAAAUGCUGUACAAUAAUUUCUGCCCAAAGUAAAUAAACUGCUCCUCAAUGCA